AGUGAACGCUGGCGGUAGGCCUAACACAUGCAAGUCGAACGGCAGCACAGUAAGAGCUUGCUCUUACGGGUGGCGAGUGGCGGACGGGUGAGGAAUACAUCGGAAUCUACUUUUUCGUGGGGGAUAACGUAGGGAAACUUACGCUAAUACCGCAUACGACCUACGGGUGAAAGCAGGGGAUCUUCGGACCUUUCGCGAUUGAAUGAGCCGAUGUCGGAUUAGCUAGUUGGCGGGGUAAAGGCCCACCAAGGCGACGAUCCGUAGCUGGUCUGAGAGGAUGAUCAGCCACACUGGAACUGAGACACGGUCCAGACUCCUACGGGAGGCAGCAGUAGGGAAUAUUGGACAAUGGGCGCAAGCCUGAUCCAGCCAUACCGCGUGAGUGAAGAAGGCCUUCGGGUUGUAAAGCCCUUUUGUUGGGAAAGAAAAGCAGCAGGUUAAUACCCCGCUGUUCUGACGGUACCCAAAGAAUAAGCACCGGCUAACUUCGUG
This 492-nucleotide ribosomal RNA is filed under the name uncultured bacterium. RNAcentral describes it as "partial 16S ribosomal RNA". It matches the Rfam family "Bacterial small subunit ribosomal RNA", at positions 29 to 507 of the family's 1533-position model. The record is from RNAcentral.